RNAcentral lists this ribosomal RNA (253 nucleotides) under uncultured bacterium. RNAcentral describes it as "partial 16S ribosomal RNA". It matches the Rfam family "Bacterial small subunit ribosomal RNA", at positions 524 to 776 of the family's 1533-position model. The record is from RNAcentral.
UACGGAGGGUGCGAGCGUUGUCCGGAAUCACUGGGCGUAAAGGGCGCGUAGGCGGCUGGGGAAGUCGGCGGUGAAAGCCCGGAGCUCAACUCCGGGUCGGCCGUCGAGACUCCUCGGCUCGAGCUCACUAGAGGCAGAUGGAAUUCCGGGUGUAGCGGUGGAAUGCGUAGAGAUCCGGAGGAAGACCGGUGGCGAAGGCGGUCUGCUGGGCAGUUUCUGACACUGAGGCGCGACAGCGUGGGGAGCAAACAGG